This is a long non-coding RNA of Telopea speciosissima, 369 nucleotides long. RefSeq lists it as uncharacterized. Lineage: Eukaryota; Viridiplantae; Streptophyta; Magnoliopsida; Proteales; Proteaceae. The record is from RefSeq and is a predicted model, not a curated record. The transcript is spliced from 3 exons.
UAAAUUUAGGGAAGGCAUUAGCAGGACGUGCAGCAGAUCUACCACGUUGUAGCUUAGGUGGCACCUUCAUAACACAGGUACGUAGCCCCCACCUCCCGAUACUCUUAUCAAAUUCAGUCGAAAUGACUGUGCCAUGUGGCAAAGUAAAGUCCUCUUUAUAAGUUAUUUCAAUCUAAAAAAUCACAAUCAUGUGGGAUAUAUGAUUGACAUGGGACCCAAGGUUCAAUAUGAGACCAAUUCGAGGGAAACACUAUCCAUCUGAAGGUCUUGAUUGACCACAUCAUCACUGCAUGUGGCUCAGAUUGAGCCAGCCAUCCUGCUAAGCUUACAAAGAUUGUGGUCCUUUAUUUUGUGGGAAAAUUACACUGA